CGAUUCAGGCAUGCAUAUGCCUGCGUGUGAAUGGCAGCAGUUGGCAACAACCACUCUGCCCGUCUGUUCGGGUCACCUCGAGACCGAUAUGGUUACUCUACCGGAUCAGCUGAUAGAGAGAGGUCAUUCCACGAGAGCUGAUGAUUCGUUCGCACUACAUCGGCAAGGAUGUUGCCUUCGCAAGUCCGUGUCACCCGACCCGGUCAGAAGUCGACGAGGCCUUACGUCCCCCGCGGCCCAGCCCUCCUGCUUUGCGUUUCUCCCUUCUCCACCAUGCUCAGCAGCUGUUCCACAGUCCGACCACCGCCCUCAACAGUGUUGGCCCGACGCGUUGCGAGACAUCCAAGCCGGGCGGCGGAGCAGGUCACGUUGUCGUACAGAGUCCGAAGCAGGGGCACCGUUGUGCGCAUCGUGCUGCCAGCAAGUGAGCCUGCGUCGUGAAGGCUGCAUUGGACUCGUUGUACCGUCUGCUGGCCAUGUUAACCAGCGUCGGAGAAUGCCAAGUACAUGUGGAAGCCACAUCUGUUCGGACACUCCAGAGCAGAAGUCAACAGAAGCCAGCACUGGUUCUGGGAAUCAGGCAGGCCUUGCUGUCGCGACACCUUCUGAACCAUGGAAGACUGGUGACAAUGAAGAAGGCUGUCUCCAACAUGUUUUGAAGCCGAGGUGCAGGUCCUUAAGUCAACGGAAGGAAGACGUGAUUAGACCCGGCGUUGUUUCAUUCCAUCAGUACACACCUCAUGUCACCUUGAACUUCGACCCUCAAUCGGCAUGUAUGAGAAAGGCGGUUCGGCUGAUAGGACCAACCAAUACGCCUGGUCAGUCGACGAUGCUGCCCCAGAGGUGCUCCCUUCGUUGGUGAUCACAGGGGGAAAGCGG
Molecule: long non-coding RNA, 879 nt
Filed under: Toxoplasma gondii VEG
Lineage: Eukaryota; Apicomplexa; Conoidasida; Eucoccidiorida; Sarcocystidae
Source: RNAcentral